Molecule: small RNA, 125 nt
Filed under: Marmota monax (woodchuck)
Lineage: Eukaryota; Metazoa; Chordata; Mammalia; Rodentia; Sciuridae
Source: RNAcentral
GCUGGGCGUGGUGGCACAUGCCUGUAAUCUCAGCUGCUCUGGAGGCUGAGACAGGAGGAUCUCGAGUUCAAAGCCAGCCUCAGCAAUGGGGAGGCGCUAAGCAACUCAUUGAGAUCUUGUCUCUA